UGAUCUUUAACUGAAGUGCAGC
This 22-nucleotide non-coding RNA is filed under the name Mus musculus (house mouse). The record is from RNAcentral. Lineage: Eukaryota; Metazoa; Chordata; Mammalia; Rodentia; Muridae.